This 468-nucleotide ribosomal RNA is filed under the name uncultured bacterium. RNAcentral describes it as "partial 16S ribosomal RNA". It matches the Rfam family "Bacterial small subunit ribosomal RNA", at positions 28 to 507 of the family's 1533-position model. The record is from RNAcentral.
GACGAACGCUGGCGGCGUGCUUAACACAUGCAAGUCGAACGGAAAGGCCCUGCUUUUGUGGGGUGCUCGAGUGGCGAACGGGUGAGUAACACGUGAGUAACCUGCCCUUGACUUUGGGAUAACUUCAGGAAGCUGGGGCUAUUACCGGAUAGGAUCUCCUGCUGCGUGGUGGGGGAUGGAGAGUUUCGGCGGUUGGGGAUGGUCUCGCUGCUUAUCAGCUUGUUUGUGUGGUAGUGGCUUACCAAGGCUUUGACGGGUAGCCGGCCUGGGAGGGUGACCGGGCACAUUGGGACUGAGGUACGGCCCAGAAUCCUACGGGAGGCAGCAGUGGGGAAUAUUGCACAAUGGGCGGACGCCUGAUGCAGCAACGCCGCGUGCGGGAUGACGGCCUUCGGGUUGUAAACCGCUUUCGACUGUGACGAAGCGUGAGUGACGGUAAUGGGUAAAGAAGCAACGGCUAACUACGUG